Non-coding RNA from Phormidium tenue NIES-30, 75 nucleotides. NCBI's taxonomy places the organism in Bacteria, Bacillati, Cyanobacteriota, Cyanophyceae, Oscillatoriales, Oscillatoriaceae. The record is from Rfam.
AGGAGCUAGAUGAAGGGAAACUCUCACGUCUGGUUCUGAAGACGAGCCGUUGAGACGACAGCGGCUUAGUUUAAC